This 763-nucleotide small RNA is filed under the name Oryza sativa Japonica Group (Japanese rice). RNAcentral describes it as "sRNA Os06g0120050". The record is from RNAcentral. Lineage: Eukaryota; Viridiplantae; Streptophyta; Magnoliopsida; Poales; Poaceae.
CACUUUUGAGAGCAUUGAGUUGAUAGUUUUAGUUAGGGUUUCGAGUUUAGUCGAGAAUUUCGUGAGGAGUGUUGUUGUUGCACUUUGUAAACACAGAGAGAAAUAAUAAAGUUGUCAUCUACUUUGAGAGUUCUUCGAUUCGUGUUUUCUCGGGUGCAGCGGUCCAACUGACGGGACACCGGUGGUCAGACCGGCGGUAUCGCGGUGGUCCGAUCGGCGGCAUACCUGCGGUCAGACCGGCGACGGCUUCAGGAGGCAGGGUUUGAUCUCGGCGGUUCGACCUGUAUUACUACCUCGGUCAGACCAACGAUCUUUGGGCAGUCAAACCGUUACGACUACUUCGGUCAGACCGCAAUCCGUCGAAUUUGAGGUAACUUUUAUUUCCACUAAAAGUUUUGGGUUUUUGUGUAUACCAACCAUUCACCCUCCCCUCUGGUUGGCUUAGUUCUUAUGAUUCGAUCCUACAAUCAGAAUCCAAAAAAUCAUAUUAAUACUCAUUGACUAUAUAUAUAUAGACACACACAUGUUUCUUGGUUUCAUCACAUGAUGGAUAAGUUAAUUACUUCUCAAUAUUAUUGACAAAAGAAAUAUAUACUUUGGGAUGGAGGGAUAGCGUAUACGAGAUUUAAUUAGUUAUACAUAUCUCUAAUAUUUUUAAAAACCAACUCUUCGUUCUCCUUCCCAACCAUCGCAUUUUCCCAUAUAAAAAGCCCACACUAGCUACCUCAAAAUCCUAACGCACCAAAAAACAGGUAAUCCCACG